UGCUGCUUCGCUGACGAGUGGCGGACGGGUGAGUAAUGUCUGGGAAACUGCCUGAUGGAGGGGGAUAACUACUGGAAACGGUGGCUAAUACCGCAUAACGUCGCAAGACCAAAGAGGGGGACCUUCGGGCCUCUUGCCAUCAGAUGUGCCCAGAUGGGAUUAGCUAGUUGGUGAGGUAACGGCUCACCAAGGCGACGAUCCCUAGCUGGUCUGAGAGGAUGACCAGCCACACUGGAACUGAGACACGGUCCAGACUCCUACGGGAGGCAGCAGUGGGGAAUAUUGCACAAUGGGCGCAAGCCUGAUGCAGCCAUGCCGCGUGUAUGAAGAAGGCCUUCGGGUUGUAAAGUACUUUCAGCGGGGAGGAAGGUGUUGUGGUUAAUAACCGCAGCAAUUGACGUUACCCGCAGAAGAAGCACCGGCUAACUCCGUGCCAGCAGCCGCGGUAAUACGGAGGGUGCAAGCGUUAAUCGGAAUUACUGGGCGUAAAGCGCACGCAGGCGGUCUGUCAAGUCGGAUGUGAAAUCCCCGGGCUCAACCUGGGAACUGCAUUCGAAACUGGCAGGCUUGAGUCUUGUAGAGGGGGGUAGAAUUCCAGGUGUAGCGGUGAAAUGCGUAGAGAUCUGGAGGAAUACCGGUGGCGAAGGCGGCCCCCUGGACAAAGACUGACGCUCAGGUGCGAAAGCGUGGGGAGCAAAACAGAUUAGAUACCCUGGUAGUCCACGCCGUAAACGAUGUCUACUUGGAGGUUGUGCCCUUGAG
RNAcentral lists this ribosomal RNA (762 nucleotides) under uncultured bacterium. Its description in RNAcentral is "bacterial SSU rRNA". It matches the Rfam family "Bacterial small subunit ribosomal RNA", at positions 78 to 836 of the family's 1533-position model. The record is from RNAcentral.